RNAcentral lists this long non-coding RNA (334 nucleotides) under Elaeis guineensis (African oil palm). Its description in RNAcentral is "long non-coding RNA (EGUI_LNC010114)". Lineage: Eukaryota; Viridiplantae; Streptophyta; Magnoliopsida; Arecales; Arecaceae. The record is from RNAcentral.
CUUGACUAAUUUUGCAGAUUGAAGGAGUUAUUGUCAGAUCGCAAGGAUUACUCCAUCCCUAUCUCGCCCAAGUCGAUCCAUUCUACUCCAAACUUCGAGCCCUGAAGCAAUAUUUAUAUUUUAUUUAUGUUAUAUAUAAUCUCAGAGUGCUCGAGGUUGUCACAAUGCAAGCAAUUAAUAAAUUUUAAGCUCCUGUUGAGCUUGAUAUUUCCCUUGACUUAAGAUGUUUAGCUUGAUAAGUGGUUUGAUAAAGACUUGACUCAGCAAGGGAACGAACUGAGCUUGUGCUUAACAACUAAGCUUGAUUGUUAGGCAAUUUCAUUGAGAUGGCCCC